This 392-nucleotide ribosomal RNA is filed under the name uncultured bacterium. Its description in RNAcentral is "bacterial SSU rRNA". It matches the Rfam family "Bacterial small subunit ribosomal RNA", at positions 30 to 426 of the family's 1533-position model. The record is from RNAcentral.
AUUGAACGCUGGCGGCAUGCCUUACACAUGCGAGUCGAACGGCAGCGGACCUUCGGGUGCCGGCGAGUGGCGAACGGGUGAGUAAUGCAUCGGAACGUGCCAUUGAGUGGGGGAUAACGUAGCGAAAGUUACGCUAAUACCGCAUAUUCUGUGAGCAGGAAAGCAGGGGACCGCAAGGCCUUGCGCUCUUUGAGCGGCCGAUGUCAGAUUAGCUAGUUGGUGAGGUAAAGGCUUACCAAGGCGACGAUCUGUAGCGGGUCUGAGAGGAUGAUCCGCCACACUGGAACUGAGACACGGUCCAGACUCCUACGGGAGGCAGCAGUGGGGAAUUUUGGACAAUGGGCGCAAGCCUGAUCCAGCCAUGCCGCGUGAGUGAAGAAGGCCUCGGUUGG